RNAcentral lists this ribosomal RNA (409 nucleotides) under Brucella melitensis. Its description in RNAcentral is "partial 16S ribosomal RNA". It matches the Rfam family "Bacterial small subunit ribosomal RNA", at positions 355 to 776 of the family's 1533-position model. The record is from RNAcentral. Lineage: Bacteria; Pseudomonadati; Pseudomonadota; Alphaproteobacteria; Hyphomicrobiales; Brucellaceae. RNAcentral also lists the same sequence under 1 other name.
UGGGGAAUAUUGCACAAUGGGCGAAAGCCUGAUGCAGCGACGCCGCGUGAGGGAUGACGGCCUUCGGGUUGUAAACCUCUUUCAGCAGGGACGAAGCGCAAGUGACGGUACCUGCAGAAGAAGCACCGGCUAACUACGUGCCAGCAGCCGCGGUAAUACGUAGGGUGCAAGCGUUGUCCGGAAUUACUGGGCGUAAAGAGUUCGUAGGCGGUUUGUCGCGUCGUUUGUGAAAACCAGCAGCUCAACUGCUGGCUUGCAGGCGAUACGGGCAGACUUGAGUACUGCAGGGGAGACUGGAGUUCCUGGUGUAGCGGUGAAAUGCGCAGAUAUCAGGAGGAACACCGGUGGCGAAGGCGGGUCUCUGGGCAGUAACUGACGCUGAGGAACGAAAGCGUGGGUAGCGAACAGG